Molecule: long non-coding RNA, 3544 nt
Filed under: Lepisosteus oculatus (spotted gar)
Lineage: Eukaryota; Metazoa; Chordata; Actinopteri; Semionotiformes; Lepisosteidae
Description: lncRNA (ENSLOCG00000022239.1)
Source: RNAcentral
UGGUGCUCUGUUGCUAAGAAAUUGUUUUCUGCAGGCCCGCCUGCGGGGCAGUUGUCUCGGACUACUUGCCUAUUCAAAGUCUCCCGAGUCCUGUAGCUUAGCAACCUAUCUUUAUUGUAUCCUACCAUUUCCCUGUGAUCAGCUUCUUUAAAAAAUAUAUUUAUAAAAUGAAGUCACCAGAACUCUAAAGCUAAGUCCCAAACGAGCAGAGAAGAGUCUCACAUCUGCUUCGCUUACAGAAAUGUAGCACACCUCUUUUCUGGUUUUCUAGAGCACGAAGAGAGAAGACAACAUGGACAACAUGAUGGACUCUGACAUGUCUCCUGACUCCCGAACAUCGUUUCGCUUUGACAAAAGGAUCGCUUUCUUUGCGAGUCAGGACCUGGCUUCUAUAAGAAGUAAAGCAUUUGUGUACCCUCAAACCGAACUCAGCACUAACAUCUGGAAAAGAAAGGCACUAGAUUUCACACCAAAACUAUACAGAUCCAUUAGGCUGCCUCAGAAGGCAAAAAGAAUUGAGCGUGCCUCUUUGACAUUGACCAGCUCUGCUGGUAACCUGGACAGUUUCUGGAAAGCCAGAUCAAUAGAGCUGCCAGAAAUUUUUCCAAAAAAAGAACAGCCAAAGUUUGAAGCAAGAUUCAGGCCUCCUGAUGCACUUGGAGCAAGUAUAAUUUUUGUAAAAACAGGCAAAUACCCCUCUGAUGUCUACAAAGAUCCCAAACCUCAUGACUUCAGGCAGUAUGAAGAUAAUAUACCAGACAUAGUGACGACCUAUGAACGAGAUCCAGGCAAUCUGAAUCUCAAGUUACAGAACCUCAGUGCAAUCGACAGCUCCAGAUCCCCAGCCCCAGCGCUGCGGCAGAAAGGGCGCUCUGACAGAUUCGACACGUUCAAGCCGGCCGAACCCAAGUGGGAUCCGAAGCUAAUACUUCCGGAGGGACCCUGGCCUCCAAAGUCAGCUUCUUACACGAGACACAGGCGGAGAAGAGGUGUUUAUUCUGCCCUGAUGGAGCGUGUGGAAGAGAAACUUGAUAACAUGUGCAAAAAUGUACCAUAGAUUGUCAUCAUUACAGCAGUCAUAUAGCAUCUACAUCAUACAGCAGUAUACUAUAUAUGCAGUAGUACGUACAAUGUAGUUGUUCUCUUCUUCAUAUAUCACUUUUUAAAGGUGAGCUUGAAAGUGAUUUUUAUGUGUUGUGUUUUAGAUGUUCUUUCACUGCUUCCUUGAUAUACUCAGCUCCACAAACUACAAGCUAGACAAGGGCGUGCUUGGAAUUCUGUAGGUACUGUUUUUUAGAUUAAACUGGAGAAUCUGUGAUUCCAAGAAUACGAUGCAUCCAAAAAAAGCUUUGGAGGUUUUGGAGGUUUGGGGAGACAAAAACUGGGACCAGUGCUGGAUUUGAAAAAGAAAAUAACCAGAGAAACGGCAUGGAAUGCCUCUUGGGUGUUGUACGUCUUUGUCCACCUGGGGUAGAUGCGAAUUCCCAACAAAUUGUGCAUCUGCUGCACAUUCCUCACACUGUGCAUUCAGUAAAAAUGAAACUACCUCUCUUUGGCUCUCACAAGGCAAGUGCAUUAAUACAGUAUAUGUAUUGUACCAGUGUGCAAUACACUAAAGAAUCUUAGUGCUCUUACUUUAUACUUUUAUUUGAUGAUAAUUAUAUUGCACAUUGUUUUCAUUCACUUAAGGAUGUUUGUAUUCUUGCAGUUCUUGUAGAGGAUUGUUUUUUAUGUAUUGCUUUGGAAUGGGCAAUGUAAAAACCUGCCUCUUCUAUGUUUUGAAUGGCUGUUAGUUCAUAUGCAUUACUUUGUCCAAUGUCAUUCUAAAAUCUGCAAUAAACAUUCACUUCUCAUAAAGUCUGAACCUCUGGUAACAACUCAUGAGCUCAAACAGCAUAGUAAAUAAUUUUCUUUGUGUAAACAGUGUUCUGUUAUUAUUCUGGGUUCGAUUCAUUAACAGUCCACAAGAUUUGAAAGGGAAUAAUAACUUGACUGGAAAAGACCUCCACACACUCCUCGUUGUGUUACUAAUUUCAUGGCUUAAAGCCUUAUUGCUGCGCUCAUGCAUCAACUAGUAUCCUUACACAUACGUUCAUUAUUCUUAUCACUACAAAUACUACAGUCGUCAGUUACAGGAUAGAUACAUUUCUCAGAUGUAUCUGUCCCAUUUUGGGUGUUGGAGGUCCUGGAGCUUUCAAACCAGCCAUGAUGUAAAACCGUAAACAGACAGAAUCAUACCUUCUCAUUAACAGAAUUGUCAGAACCCAUUAAAUAUUAAUUGUAAUCAUCUUAGACUAGAUUAUUGUCACGCCCUGUACACCUAGAGGGCACUGCUCUUCUGUCCUGCUCCUAGUUCCCUGUGAUUAUUCAUGUCUUUCCAGUUUGUCCUGUUGUGUUGCCUAUUUACUUCCUGGUUCUGCUCUGCUCCUCGCUCGGCAUUGAGGGAACGGAUGUCCUGAGACCUGCCUAGCACCAGGUCGCUCCUGUCUGUGGCCUGAGGGCAUAGGUUUCUAUAGCGAGGUUUUGUCUGUCCCCCUGAACCUGGGCUAACCCCUGUGUUGCCCCUUUUACUGCUACACAUAGGGUCUGUCCUGCUCUCCUUGUCAUUCCACGGCUUGCCCUUCCGACAUCCGUGACAAUUAUGAUCACAUAUACAGUAGUCAUACUUUCAGUAGUAAAUUCGACAGAAAUGCUUUUGAUGCCCUUUGAAUAUGGUUUGUUUGUGCCUAAUUGUUAUUUAGCUAUCAGUUAUCAAACAAAGAUUUUUUUUUUCCAAGUUGGUCAUUGUUCCAUGGUGGCACAGUAGUUAGCAUUGCUGCCUCACAGUGCUGGGGUCCUGGGUCACUUCUUGGGGUGCUCCUGCCUCUGCGGGGAGUUCAUACUGUGUGUUCACCCCAGGUUCGUGUGGGUUUCCUCCAGGUGUUUCCUCUUACAGUCCAAAGACAUGCUGGUCAGUUAAUUCGCUUAUGGGAAAAUUGGCCCCGCUGUGAGUGUGUGUGUCUGUGUGCCCUGUGCUAGACUGGCAUCCCAUCAUGCAUGUGUCUGACAGGCAAUUGUCUGGCAAUCGACUGGCAGUACAUCCAGGAUGUAUUUUGCCUUGUGUCCCUUGCUUGUCUUGGUUAGCUUCCAGCUCCCAUGCAACCCUCUAUUGGAAAAGCGGAUUAGAAAAUUGUUGGAUGGUCAGACAUACUGUACUUGCACUUGGUCCAAUUCUUUUUUGUAUCUAUGCAUUACUGUUUGGUCAGAUUCUUUAUAGAUAUGACGUGAUCUUUCAUUUCUAUGUUGAUGACACCUAUAUUUACUGAAAAUGUAUGUACACACAAAAUCAGGCUGACAUUAAUCAAUCAUAUUCUGCUUUGCCACACUGCUCAGAUGAUGUUAAAAGUGAAGGUAACAAAGCGUUUUAGUUCUGGCCUCCGGAAAGAUAAAAGAUAUAUUAAUUUUCUAUCCUGUGUAAAUGUGUCAAUCUCUUUUCACUAUUGCUGGUUGUGGAAUCAGUUCAAGUGUUAUUCUUGGAUGAAUAAUAAACGAUUUUUGAAAAGGG